GACGAACGCUGGCGGCGUGCUUAACACAUGCAAGUCGAACGGAAAGGCCCUGCUUUUGUGGGGUGCUCGAGUGGCGAACGGGUGAGUAACACGUGAGUAACCUGCCCUUGACUUUGGGAUAACUUCAGGAAACUGGGGCUAAUACCGGAUAGGAGCUCCUGCUGCAUGUUGGGGGUUGGAAAGUUUCGGCGGUUGGGGAUGGACUCGCGGCUUAUCAGCUUGUUGGUGGGGUAGUGGCUUACCAAGGCUUUGACGGGUAGCCGGCCUGAGAGGGUGACCGGCCACAUUGGGACUGAGAUACGGCCCAGACUCCUACGGGAGGCAGCAGUGGGGAAUAUUGCACAAUGGGCGGAAGCCUGAUGCAGCAACGCCGCGUGCGGGAUGACGGCCUUCGGGUUGUAAACCGCUUUCGCCUGUGACGAAGAGUGAGUGACGGUAAUGGGUAAAGAAGCACCGGCUAACUACGUG
This 468-nucleotide ribosomal RNA is filed under the name uncultured bacterium. RNAcentral describes it as "partial 16S ribosomal RNA". It matches the Rfam family "Bacterial small subunit ribosomal RNA", at positions 28 to 507 of the family's 1533-position model. The record is from RNAcentral.